RNAcentral lists this ribosomal RNA (503 nucleotides) under uncultured bacterium. Its description in RNAcentral is "partial 16S ribosomal RNA". It matches the Rfam family "Bacterial small subunit ribosomal RNA", at positions 30 to 523 of the family's 1533-position model. The record is from RNAcentral.
AUUGAACGCUGGCGGCAGGCUUAACACAUGCAAGUCGAGCGGGGUGAUGGUGCUUGCACUAUCACUUAGCGGCGGACGGGUGAGUAAUGCUUAGGAAUCUGCCUAUUAGUGGGGGACAACAUCUCGAAAGGGAUGCUAAUACCGCAUACGUCCUACGGGAGAAAGCAGGGGAUCACUUGUGACCUUGCGCUAAUAGAUGAGCCUAGGUCGGAUUAGCUAGUUGGUGGGGUAAAGGCCUACCAAGGCGACGAUCUGUAGCGGGUCUGAGAGGAUGAUCCGCCACACUGGGACUGAAACACGGCCCAGACUCCUACGGGAGGCAGCAGUGGGGAAUAUUGGACAAUGGGGGGAACCCUGAUCCAGCCAUGCCGCGUGUGUGAAGAAGGCCUUAUGGUUGUAAAGCACUUUAAGCGAGGAGGAGGCUCUUUUGGUUAAUACCCAAGAUGAGUGGACGUUACUCGCAGAAUAAGCACCGGCUAACUCUGUGCCAGCAGCCGCCGUAA